This 440-nucleotide ribosomal RNA is filed under the name uncultured bacterium. RNAcentral describes it as "bacterial SSU rRNA". It matches the Rfam family "Bacterial small subunit ribosomal RNA", at positions 28 to 507 of the family's 1533-position model. The record is from RNAcentral.
GAUGAACGCUGGCGGUAUGCCCAACACAUGCAAGUCGUACGAGAGUUUUUAACUCUAGUGGCGGACGGGUGAGUAACACGUGAGAAUUUGCCUUUAGGAGGGGGACAACAAUCGGAAACGAAUGCUAAUACCCCAUAUGCUUUCGAGUGAAAUGGAUUUUAUCCGCCUAGAGAGAAGCUCGCGGCUGAUUAGCUUGUUGGUAAGGUAAUGGCUCACCAAGGCGACGAUCAGUAUCUGGUUUGAGAGGACGAUCAGACACACUGGAACUGAGACACGGUCCAGACUCCUACGGGAGGCAGCAGUGGGGAAUUUUCCGCAAUGGGCGAAAGCCUGACGGAGCAAUACCGCGUGAGGGAUGACGGCCUAUGGGUUGUAAACCUCUUUUUUCAGGGAGGAAUAAAUGACGUGUACCUGAGGAAUAAGCAUCGGCUAACUCCGUG